UAUAUUGCUAAUUUCUCAAAC
RNAcentral lists this non-coding RNA (21 nucleotides) under Caenorhabditis elegans. The record is from RNAcentral. Lineage: Eukaryota; Metazoa; Nematoda; Chromadorea; Rhabditida; Rhabditidae.